GGGGGGGGGGGGGGGGGGGGGGAGGGGAGGCAGGUGGGGGGGGGCGGGCGGGUCGGGGGGCGCGCGGGUGCGUAGCGCGUGGGAACCUGCCCUGAGGGUCGGAAUAACGCCCCGAAAGGGGUGCUAAUACCGGAUAAUGUCUUCGGACCAAAGAUUUAUCGCCUUUGGAUGGGCCCGCGUUGGAUUAGCUAGUUGGUAGGGUAAAAGCCUACCAAGGCGACGAUCCAUAGCUGGUCUGAGAGGAUGAUCAGCCACACUGGGACUGAGACACGGCCCAGACUCCUACGGGAGGCAGCAGUGGGGAAUAUUGGACAAUGGGCGAAAGCCUGAUCCAGCAAUGCCGCGUGAGUGAUGAAGGCCUUAGGGUUGUAAAGCUCUUUUACCCGGGAUGAUAAUGACAGUACCGGGAGAAUAAGCGCCGGCUAACUCCGUG
Molecule: ribosomal RNA, 433 nt
Filed under: uncultured bacterium
Lineage: Bacteria
Description: partial 16S ribosomal RNA
Rfam family: Bacterial small subunit ribosomal RNA
Source: RNAcentral